Molecule: long non-coding RNA, 217 nt
Filed under: Oryza brachyantha (malo sina)
Lineage: Eukaryota; Viridiplantae; Streptophyta; Magnoliopsida; Poales; Poaceae
Description: long non-coding RNA (OBRA_LNC002159)
Source: RNAcentral
GCCUUUGGUGCUACUGUCUUUCCCUCUAGUUUUUAUUCCCAAUGCUUCCCAUUCUUAGUAGUAUGUAGAUCUCAGUUUCAGAAGUCUUCUAUAAUUGUUCGGCAUGUAGUACAUCACUGCUCCUAUAGUAGACAUCACUUAUCAAUCUCCCCAAAAGACAACCAAGUUAUAUCAGACUCAAUGCUAGCACUAGAUCGACCUAUAUAAGACGAGCUAG